UCCAGGACUUAAACUGUGAUAGAGUGGCUGAUAGAGUGUCCCAAAAGAUGGGACCACUGGUCAGCUGCCAUGGACUAGAUUCUCCACCUGUUGGGGGCAAUCUGGUCACCUUGCUGCCCAAUCCUGACCUGGAGCCACCACAGCACAAGUGUCAAGCACUGGCAGAAGCCCAUGGGUGGAGGAAAGACCUCUGCGACUGGCUGAUUGACCCCUGCUGAAAGCCGAGGACCUUGUCCACAGACAGGAACAGUUCUCUUCAUGAAGGUCAGAGAUAAGUGGGUGCUGCCGUGGUGGACAACACAAUGUCAUCUGGGAUGGCUGAACUUCUACCCCCCAGCACAUCAGCGCUGCAGAUGCCUUUACCAUCUCUUGGAUGCCCUGGUGAAGCCAACAACUGCCUACAAGAGACAGCC
This 413-nucleotide long non-coding RNA is filed under the name Rattus norvegicus (Norway rat). RNAcentral describes it as "long non-coding RNA NONRATT020688". Lineage: Eukaryota; Metazoa; Chordata; Mammalia; Rodentia; Muridae. The record is from RNAcentral.